RNAcentral lists this ribosomal RNA (396 nucleotides) under uncultured bacterium. RNAcentral describes it as "bacterial SSU rRNA". It matches the Rfam family "Bacterial small subunit ribosomal RNA", at positions 491 to 888 of the family's 1533-position model. The record is from RNAcentral.
CACGGCUAACUACGUGCCAGCAGCCGCGGUAAUACGUAGGGUGCAAGCGUUAAUCGGAAUUACUGGGCGUAAAGCGUGCGCAGGCGGACUUUUAAGCCAGAUGUGAAAGCCCCGAGCUUAACUUGGGAAUUGCGUUUGGAACUGGGAGUCUAGAGUCUGUCAGAGGGGGAUGGAAUUCCACGUGUAGCAGUGAAAUGCGUAGAGAUGUGGAGGAACACCGAUGGCGAAGGCAGUCCCCUGGGAUAAGACUGACGCUCAUGCACGAAAGCGUGGGGAGCAAACAGGAUUAGAUACCCUGGUAGUCCACGCCCUAAACGAUGUCUACUAGUUGUUGGGGUAGCAAUACCUCAGUGACGCAGCUAACGCGUGAAGUAGACCGCCUGGGGAGUACGGUCG